CUAUGUUAUUGAAGUAACUCAUCUUAAGUGUCUGUAGUGAUUGGAGAUAUUCUUGCUUAUCAAAUUGAAGUAUUUAUAAGUGAGUGACGUGAUGUCUGAGAUCUAUCUUAAAAUAAUCCAGUAGGGCAAAGAUAACUUGAGAUUGGCCAGUUGUUGAUAAUUGUUGAAGUAGGCUGAUGAGUACAUAGAAAUUUGAUACUGUUUUCUCUGCUUUUUAUCUUUAAAAGUUUCCAUAUUAAAAAGUAUUUUUAAAGGUCUAUACGUUUAGACAUCAGUAUUAACAUUUCAUCUGUUUUCUUUUUAAGGUCUGGGACCAAGUAAAGGCUUCCAACCCUGACCUAAAGUUGUGGGAGAUUGGCAAGAUUAUUGGUGGCAUGUGGCGAGAUCUCACUGAUGAAGAAAAACAAGAAUAUUUAAACGAAUACGAAGCAGAAAAGAUAGAGUACAAUGAAUCUAUGAAGGCCUAUCAUAAUUCC
RNAcentral lists this small RNA (476 nucleotides) under Pongo abelii (Sumatran orangutan). RNAcentral's name for it is "retained intron". The record is from RNAcentral. Lineage: Eukaryota; Metazoa; Chordata; Mammalia; Primates; Hominidae.